Molecule: transfer RNA, 71 nt
Filed under: Dendronephthya gigantea
Lineage: Eukaryota; Metazoa; Cnidaria; Anthozoa; Malacalcyonacea; Nephtheidae
Description: tRNA-Gly
Rfam family: tRNA
About the family: Transfer RNA (tRNA) molecules are approximately 80 nucleotides in length. Their secondary structure includes four short double-helical elements and three loops (D, anti-codon, and T loops). Further hydrogen bonds mediate the characteristic L-shaped molecular structure. tRNAs have two regions of fundamental functional importance: the anti-codon, which is responsible for specific mRNA codon recognition, and the 3' end, to which the tRNAs corresponding amino acid is attached (by aminoacyl-tRNA synthetases). tRNAs cope with the degeneracy of the genetic code in two manners: having more than one tRNA (with a specific anti-codon) for a particular amino acid; and 'wobble' base-pairing, i.e. permitting non-standard base-pairing at the 3rd anti-codon position.
Source: RNAcentral
GCGCUGGUGGUUCAGUGGUAGAAUUCUCGCCCGCCACGUAGGAGACCGGGGUUCGAUUCCCCGCUAGCGCA